Molecule: ribosomal RNA, 433 nt
Filed under: Blaberus giganteus
Lineage: Eukaryota; Metazoa; Arthropoda; Insecta; Blattodea; Blaberidae
Description: partial 12S ribosomal RNA
Source: RNAcentral
UACUAUGUUACGACUUAUCUUUAAAAUUUUAACGAGAGUGACGGGCGAUGUGUGCAUACCUUAGAGCUUAAAUCAUAUUUACAAUCUACAAAAAAUUACUAUCAAAUCCACCUUCACAUAAAUCAUUCCAAAAUUAUAAUCCGUUUACCUUUAAAUAUUGUAAUCCAUCUCCCCUUAAUUAUAAGCUGCACCUUGACCUGAAAUAAAAUCAUUAUACUACAUAUUUUAAGAAAAUAUUAUCUCUAAAAAAAUAUUCAAUAAACGGCGGUAUACAUACUUUAUAAAUAAGUUAAGAUUCAACGUGGACUAUCGAUUACGGGACAGAUUCCUCUAAACAGACUAAAAUACCGCCAAAUUCUUUAAGUUUCAAGAUCAUAACUAUUACUACCUAAGUUUAAAAUUAUAUUACAUAUAGGGUAUCUAAUCCUAGUUU